GGAGCUGAGCGGGCGGUCGCGCCUCGAAAGAGGUGAGGAAAGUCCGGCCUCCUCCAGGAAGGGUGGUGGCUAACAGCCACCGGGGGUGACCCCAGGGAAAGUGCCACAGAAAAUAAACCGCCCCUUCGGGGGUAAGGGUGAAACGGCGAGGUAAGAGCUCACCGCGGAACCGGUGACGGUUCUGGCAGGGUAAACCCCACUCGGAGCAAGCUUGAGCAGUCGUCUAGUUCCUGGGCAAUGGCGACGGGUAAAGUGCAGGAGGCGUCCAGCAAUGGGCGUCCCAGAUGGAUGAUCGUCCAAGACAAAAGCCGGCUUACAGCUCAGCUCCUUUU
This 332-nucleotide RNase P RNA is filed under the name Planctomycetota bacterium. RNAcentral's name for it is "RNase P RNA component class A". It matches the Rfam family "Bacterial RNase P class A". From Rfam's summary of the family: Ribonuclease P (RNase P) is a ubiquitous endoribonuclease, found in archaea, bacteria and eukarya as well as chloroplasts and mitochondria. Its best characterised activity is the generation of mature 5'-ends of tRNAs by cleaving the 5'-leader elements of precursor-tRNAs. Lineage: Bacteria; Pseudomonadati; Planctomycetota. The record is from RNAcentral.